RNAcentral lists this ribosomal RNA (253 nucleotides) under uncultured bacterium. Its description in RNAcentral is "partial 16S ribosomal RNA". It matches the Rfam family "Bacterial small subunit ribosomal RNA", at positions 524 to 776 of the family's 1533-position model. The record is from RNAcentral.
UACAGAGGUGGCAAGCGUUGUUCGGAAUUACUGGGCGUAAAGGGCGCGUAGGCGGUCGAUUAAGUCCCGUGUGAAAUCCCUCGGCUCAACUGAGGAACUGCACGGGAAACUGGCUGACUUGAGUUCGGGAGAGGGAAGCGGAAUUCCGGGUGUAGCGGUGAAAUGCGUAGAUAUCCGGAGGAACACCGGUGGCGAAGGCGGCUUCCUGGACCGAUACUGACGCUGAGGCGCGAAAGCUAGGGGAGCAAACGGG